Molecule: ribosomal RNA, 343 nt
Filed under: uncultured anaerobic ammonium-oxidizing bacterium
Lineage: Bacteria
Description: bacterial SSU rRNA
Rfam family: Bacterial small subunit ribosomal RNA
Source: RNAcentral
GUAAAGGGCGUAACUGCCCGCUUUGGGAUGAACCUGCGUCCUAUCAGCUAGUUGGUAAGGUAACGGCUUACCAAGGCUAUGACGGGUAGGGGGUGUGAGAGCACGACCCCCCACAAGGGUACUGAGAUACGGACCCUACACCUACGGGUGGCAGCAACCAGGAAUAUUGCGCAAUGGGCGAAAGCCUGACGCAGCGACGCCGCGUGGAGGAUGAAGGUUCUCGGAUCGUAAACUCCUUUUUACAGGGAUAAAUAAAAUGAUAGUACCUGUAGAAUAAGCACCUGCAAACUACGUGCCAGCAGCCGCGGUAAUACGUAGGGUGCGAGCGUUAUCCGGAUUUACU